UACGAAGGGGGCUAGCGUUGCUCGGAAUCACUGGGCGUAAAGCGCACGUAGGCGGACUCUUAAGUCGGUGGUGAAAUCCUGGAGCUCAACUCCAGAACUGCCUUCGAUACUGGGAGUCUCGAGUCCGGGAGAGGUGAGUGGAACUGCGAGUGUAGAGGUGAAAUUCGUAGAUAUUCGCAAGAACACCAGUGGCGAAGGCGGCUCACUGGCCCGGUACUGACGCUGAGGUGCGAAAGCGAGGGGAGCAAACAGG
RNAcentral lists this ribosomal RNA (253 nucleotides) under uncultured bacterium. Its description in RNAcentral is "partial 16S ribosomal RNA". It matches the Rfam family "Bacterial small subunit ribosomal RNA", at positions 524 to 776 of the family's 1533-position model. The record is from RNAcentral.